RNAcentral lists this transfer RNA (75 nucleotides) under Amorphus orientalis. RNAcentral's name for it is "tRNA-Val". It matches the Rfam family "tRNA". Rfam says of the family: Transfer RNA (tRNA) molecules are approximately 80 nucleotides in length. Their secondary structure includes four short double-helical elements and three loops (D, anti-codon, and T loops). The record is from RNAcentral. Lineage: Bacteria; Pseudomonadati; Pseudomonadota; Alphaproteobacteria; Hyphomicrobiales; Amorphaceae. RNAcentral also lists the same sequence under 1 other name.
GGGCGGUUAGCUCAGCGGGAGAGCGCUACCUUGACACGGUAGAGGUCACUGGUUCAAUCCCAGUACCGCCCACCA